AUAAGGUCAACAUCAUGAACGAAAACAAACGAAAAAGGGAUGGUGGUGUUGGUCCACAGAUAAAGACUCAAAUGCCCCGUACCAAUAAGUUGGUAGAUAUUAACCGAAAAUUAUCUGAUGCGCAAAGGAGUAGAAUUAUGAAAACUCCAUUCCGAUAUCUGGUGGAAAUGAAGACCUAUAUAGGAAUGAAUGGUACUUUAUUGAAGGAAUUAUUGCAUAGGUGGGAUGCAAGUAGCUUAGGAUUUAGAGUAGGCGUUAGGACUGUGGCCUUUAAACAUCUAGACCUUUAUUAGUUGUUGAUUAAUUAAUAAUAUGUAAAUAUUGAUAUAUAUCGAAAUAAAAGCAUUUACUUAUCUACAGGAGGAUAUCCUUCGGAUUCGCAGUGACAUUGUUUGUCGUUUGGUGCUUCAUGAAGAAAAUAAGCAGAGAAGUUUUGUAUUGGAUAAUGCUAUGUUACCCGCGGACUUAUUGAUCGGUUAAACAUACAUUUUCUAACUUAAUUGUGGUUGAUUGA
Medicago truncatula (barrel medic) is the source of this 514-nucleotide long non-coding RNA. RefSeq lists it as uncharacterized. Lineage: Eukaryota; Viridiplantae; Streptophyta; Magnoliopsida; Fabales; Fabaceae. The transcript is spliced from 2 exons. The record is from RefSeq and is a predicted model, not a curated record.